CGGCGAUGGCAGAUGAUCGCUGGUGAGCCGCGAGGCUCCCUGGAGGAAAGUCCGAACACCACACGGCAGCAUGCCGCGUAGAACACGCGGGCGCCGCGCUCGUAAGCGUGCGGCGACGGAAAGUGUCGCAGAAAAUAUACCGCCGCUCGGCAGCGAUGCCGGCCGGUAAGGUUGAAAAGGCGAGGUAAGAGCUCACCGCGCGCGGAGCAAUCCGCGCGGCAGGAAAAACCCCAUGCGGUGCAAGACAGAACAGAGGGAGGGCAGCCGGUCCGUUGAUCCUCGGGUUUCGUCGCAUCACUGUUCCGCCCCCCAGCGGAAUCGGGCGGCUCACGCGAGUGAGCUGAGAUAAAUGAUCAUCCGCUCGAGCAAUCGAGCGACAGAAUUCGGCUUAUCGCCAUCGCAACGGA
Molecule: RNase P RNA, 407 nt
Filed under: Verrucomicrobiota bacterium
Lineage: Bacteria; Pseudomonadati; Verrucomicrobiota
Description: RNase P RNA component class A
Rfam family: Bacterial RNase P class A
About the family: Ribonuclease P (RNase P) is a ubiquitous endoribonuclease, found in archaea, bacteria and eukarya as well as chloroplasts and mitochondria. Its best characterised activity is the generation of mature 5'-ends of tRNAs by cleaving the 5'-leader elements of precursor-tRNAs.
Source: RNAcentral